RNAcentral lists this ribosomal RNA (445 nucleotides) under uncultured bacterium. Its description in RNAcentral is "bacterial SSU rRNA". It matches the Rfam family "Bacterial small subunit ribosomal RNA", at positions 354 to 796 of the family's 1533-position model. The record is from RNAcentral.
GUAAGGAAUAUUGGUCAAUGGACGGAAGUCUGAACCAGCCAUCCCGCGUGCAGGAUGAAUGUCCUAUGGAUUGUAAACUGCUUUUAGCAGAGACGAAACGCCUUCAUUUAUGGGGGUCUGACGGUAUCUGCGGAAUAAGCACCGGCUAACUCCGUGCCAGCAGCCGCGGUAAUACGGAGGGUGCGAGCGUUAUCCGGAAUCACUGGGUUUAAAGGGUGCGUAGGCGGGUUAUUAAGUCAGUGGUGAAAUCCUGUCGCUUAACGAUAGAACUGCCAUUGAUACUGAUAAUCUUGAAUUGGGUUGAGGUUAGCGGAAUGUGACAUGUAGCGGUGAAAUGCAUAGAUAUGUCAUGGAACACCAAUUGCGAAGGCAGCUAGCUGGGCCUUGAUUGACGCUGAUGCACGAAAGCGUGGGUAGCGAACAGGAUUAGAUACCCUUGUAGUCC